This 73-nucleotide transfer RNA is filed under the name Trichonephila clavata. It matches the Rfam family "tRNA". From Rfam's summary of the family: Transfer RNA (tRNA) molecules are approximately 80 nucleotides in length. Their secondary structure includes four short double-helical elements and three loops (D, anti-codon, and T loops). Further hydrogen bonds mediate the characteristic L-shaped molecular structure. tRNAs have two regions of fundamental functional importance: the anti-codon, which is responsible for specific mRNA codon recognition, and the 3' end, to which the tRNAs corresponding amino acid is attached (by aminoacyl-tRNA synthetases). tRNAs cope with the degeneracy of the genetic code in two manners: having more than one tRNA (with a specific anti-codon) for a particular amino acid; and 'wobble' base-pairing, i.e. permitting non-standard base-pairing at the 3rd anti-codon position. Lineage: Eukaryota; Metazoa; Arthropoda; Arachnida; Araneae; Nephilidae. The record is from Rfam by way of RNAcentral.
GUCCUUGGAGCGCAAUGGAUAGUGCGUUGGACUUCUAAUCCAAAGGUCGUGAGUUUGUAUCCCAUCUGGGAUG